Molecule: ribosomal RNA, 257 nt
Filed under: uncultured prokaryote
Description: partial 16S ribosomal RNA
Rfam family: Bacterial small subunit ribosomal RNA
Source: RNAcentral
UACGUAGGUGGCAAGCGUUGUCCGGAUUUAUUGGGCGUAAAGCGAGCGCAGGUGGUUUCUUAAGUCUGAUGUGAAAGCCCACGGCUCAACCGUGGAAGGUCAUUGGAAACUGGGGAACUUGAAUGCAGAAGAGGAGAGUGGAAUUCCAUGUGUAGCGGUGAAAUGCGUAGAUAUAUGGAGGAACACCAGUUGCGAAGGCGACUCUCUGAUCUGUUAUUGACACUGAGGCUCGAAAGCGUGGGGAGCAAACAGGAUUA